GAUGAACGCUGGCGGCGUGCCUAAUACAUGCAAGUCGAGCGAACGGACGAGAAGCUUGCUUCUCUGAGGUUAGCGGCGGACGGGUGAGUAACACGUGGAUAACCUACCUAUAAGACUGGGAUAACUUCGGGAAACCGGAUCUAAUACCGGAUGAUAUUUUGAACCGCAUGGUUCAAGAGUGAAAGACGCUCUUGCUGUCACUUAUAGAUGGAUCCGCGCUGCAUUAGCUAGUUGGUAAGGUAACGGCUUACCAAGGCAACGAUGCAUAGCCGACCUGAGAGGGUGAUCGGCCAGACUGGAACUGAGAAACGGUCCAGACUCCUACGGGAGGCAGCAGUAGGGAAUCUUCCGCAAUGGGCGAAAGCCUGACGGAGCAACGCCGCGUGAGUGAUGAAGGUCUUCGGAUCGUAAAACUAUGAUAUCAGGGAAGAACAUAUGUGUAAGUAACUGUGCACAUCAUGACGGUACCUAAUCAGAAAGCCACGGCUAACUCCGUG
This 497-nucleotide ribosomal RNA is filed under the name uncultured bacterium. RNAcentral's name for it is "partial 16S ribosomal RNA". It matches the Rfam family "Bacterial small subunit ribosomal RNA", at positions 28 to 507 of the family's 1533-position model. The record is from RNAcentral.